GAGUGUUGAUGAAUUCACAGAUAAGUUCCUAGAUCUGCUUCAGUACGUGGGUCAAGCCUAUGAUACUGAUCAGAAGAAAGCAAGGAGAUAUACUAUGAGACUGCAUCCCAGGUAUGCUUCCUUGAUUCUUCCAGCAGAAAAGGAGAGUUUUCACUCUAUUAUAGAUGCAGCCAGAAAAAUGGAAGCUAGUGCCAAUAUUCAGAAACAGUCACAGGCACAGGCUUCGGGUGCUAAGGCCCCCAGUUCAGGUUCAACAAGCGGUAAGAGAUGGGAUAGAGCAAGAGGAACAAAGAGUAAGUUCUGGAAUAAAGUCAAGUCAGGUCUGGGAAUAGGUAGUGGCUCAAGCUCUGGCACAGCUCCAGUCUGCAGACGAUGCGGAAAACCACAUGGAGGAGUUUGUCGGUUGGGAUCUACAGCUUGUUUUCGAUGUGGACAGGAA
This 439-nucleotide long non-coding RNA is filed under the name Manihot esculenta (cassava). RNAcentral's name for it is "long non-coding RNA (MESC_LNC011780)". Lineage: Eukaryota; Viridiplantae; Streptophyta; Magnoliopsida; Malpighiales; Euphorbiaceae. The record is from RNAcentral.